Molecule: long non-coding RNA, 937 nt
Organism: Gorilla gorilla gorilla (western lowland gorilla)
Lineage: Eukaryota; Metazoa; Chordata; Mammalia; Primates; Hominidae
Exons: 5
Source: RefSeq, a predicted model, not a curated record
GAGGCGGAGGCUCAGGCAUGGCGGGCUGCAGCUCCCGAGCCCUGCCCCGCAGGGAGGCAGCUAAGGCCAGGCGAGAAAUCGAGCGCAGCGCCGGUGGGCCAGCACUGCUGGGGGACCCAGUACACCCUCCGCAGCCGCUGGCCCGGGUGCUAAGUCCCUCAUUGCUCGGGGCCGGCCGGGGCGGCCGGCCGGCUGGCCGCUCAGAGUGCGGGGCCCGCCAAGCCCACGCCCACCCGGAACUCCAGCUGACCCGCAAGCGCAGCGCGCAGCCCCUGUUCCCGCUUGCGCCUCUCCCUCCACACCUCCCUGCAAGCUGAGGGAGCCAGCUCCGGCCUUGGCCAGCCCAGAAAGGGGCUCCCACAGUGCAGCGGCGGGCUGAAGGGCUCCUCAAGCGCGGCCAGAGUGGGCGCAAAGGCCGAGGAGGCGCCGAGAGCGAGCGAAGGCUGUGAGGGCUGCCAGCAACGCUGUCACUUCUCAAUAAUAUUUCACCUGUGAAUACUACACCAUUUAAGACAUCUCCCUGCUUCUCCUUUGCCUUCCAUCAUGACUGAAAGUUGUCUGAGUUCUCCCAGCCAUGUGUCCUGUACAGCCUGUGGAACUACUUUAAAGAAGAAUCAGAAAAUGGAGACUGGGAUUGGAAGCAGAGAUCCGAUGGCCAAAUUACAGAGUCUGCCACUGAAGCUAACACACCUAUGGAUAACCCAACCUGUAAACUCAAUGUGGAACACAGUUUGAGAAAAGAAGUGAGAAGAUUCAAUUUUGAAGUUGGAUCACUCUCCUACAGGCAAUGAAGACCACAUCACUGAUGGCUCUCCUGCAAUUCUAUUACCUGUUUGAAUGUGAAGAUGGGAUGAAGUAGCAAGAAUGACCUCACAAAAUACCUCCCCAACCACCCCAUCAUCCUGCACUUUCCAGUCUGCACAACUGUGAGAAAGAC